This 77-nucleotide transfer RNA is filed under the name Verrucomicrobia bacterium GWC2_42_7. RNAcentral's name for it is "tRNA-Pro". It matches the Rfam family "tRNA". From Rfam's summary of the family: Transfer RNA (tRNA) molecules are approximately 80 nucleotides in length. Their secondary structure includes four short double-helical elements and three loops (D, anti-codon, and T loops). Lineage: Bacteria; Pseudomonadati; Verrucomicrobiota. The record is from RNAcentral.
CGGGCUGUAGCGUAGCCUGGUAGCGCACUUGCAUGGGGUGCAAGGGGUCGAGAGUUCAAAUCUCUCCAGCCCGACCA